GUGGUUCAAUAACUUCAAGCUGGAAAAUGGUUGCGUGUAAGAUACUACAACAUCUUGGACAUUUGAAAUUGGACAGAAGUCUUUUUUUUAUGGACUUGUCAAAAAUGAACAUUAAUGGAAUGCCUAUUUUUUAUCGGAAUGUUUUUAAAGUUUGGAACUUGUUCAAAGUACAAAGAGAAGAACACUUUGAAUCUCUUUACUGGCUCCUUGAGGAACCACUAAUAUAUGGAGCACGCUUUGAUUUAGCACAAAAUGACUGUACAAUUCCUGGACUCACUGAAACACUUGUGGCUUCCAAAGUAUGCACAAUGGGGAGUCUAGUUAAUUUGUCUGGACCAGUUUUUGAGAAUGUGGAAAGAGUUGCUACGAGUCUGAAGAUCAAGUCAAGACGAUUUGUUUUUCAUUUACUAGAAAGAUGGAAAAAAAGACUCACUUCCGAUGAACUGAAACUUUUAUUGGACCACUGUGAAGGAAAAAAUGUGCCUAAUGAAGAAGAUGUUUUAUCUGAUUUUAUUCUUUUACCUGUUUUAGAUGAUGUCUCAGGAAUGUUUUUAAGCUCUGGAAAAUCCCUAUGUCUUAAUUUUUUUUCAAGUACUGGUAAAUCUUUUUAUAAAGCGUGUGUUUUUGUUUUUAACAAAAAAUCACUUGAUAAAAGGGUUGACACACCAUGGCGUAAUGUUUUAAAACUGGAUGAUGAUGUAAAACCAGAAUGGAGGUCAUUGUAUAAGCCACCUUUAAGCAAAAGAGUUGGGGACAUACAGUGGAGACUUUUACAUGGUGUGUUAGCAGUUAAUGCUUUUAUUUCAGUUUUAAAUUCUGAUGUUACUGCAGAGUGCCCUUUUUGUUUUAAGAGAGAAACUGUUUUUCAUGCGUAUAUGGAUUGUUUUAGACUGGAAAGGAUGUUUGGGUUAUUACAUAAUUUAUUUGAUAGUUUUAAUGAAUCUUUUUCUAUAAACAUAUUUAUUGCUGGUUUUAGAUAUGUUAGAAGAAAGAGGUUUAUUUGUCAGUGUUUAAAUUUUAUUAUAGGUCAAGCUAAAUUAGCAAUCUAUAUGAGCAGGAAAAACAAGAUAGAGCUGGGUGUGGAUCAAGAUAUUAAUACGCUGUUUUUAGCCACCGUUAAAUCCAGAAUUCUUAUUGAUUUUCAUUUUUAUACAUCCAUGGAUGACGUUUUUACUUUUGAAACGAAGUGGUGUAAGAAUGAUGCUCUGUGCUCUGUUAUUGAUGGAAAAAUAUCUUUUUCUCUUUUACUAAUGUAAAAAGGUUUUUGUUUUGUUUUUUUCCUUGUGGUAUUAAAAGGUAAAUGUAAAGUGGUAAAUGUUGAUUUGUUGAAAAGGUGUUUUAUGUGAAAUAUUGUAAUAAAAUAUUUUUUUCAAAAUUCAAAAAUCUCUCUCUCUCUCUCUCUCUGAGAUGAUGAGCCGCUUUGCUCUUGUCGCUAGGCGGCG
This 1442-nucleotide long non-coding RNA is filed under the name Sinocyclocheilus grahami. Its description in RNAcentral is "lncRNA (ENSSGRG00000034446.1)". Lineage: Eukaryota; Metazoa; Chordata; Actinopteri; Cypriniformes; Cyprinidae. The record is from RNAcentral.